ACCCGAGGUGCUGACGGUGCUGCACUGCUGCCUGUUGGCAGGUGCUGGCGGCCCAAAUCUUACAUCACUGGUGCUAACCUCCAAGAACCGAUAAACAGUGGCGAUUUUGUUAAAAAUGACGAAGUGCAUUGAUUCACGAGAAUUGAAAACGAUUAUAAACGAGAAUGACUGGGAUCAGCUGCUAGAAAAGGUCAAACCAAAGCAUUUUGUGAGGCAGGAAUUCGAGGCAAUGCCUGACGCAAGUGUCUUGGCACAGAUGUGUCAAGUGCUCGUAAGCGAAGCUACUCCGGAUACGAUUAGAAUUCUAUGUCUGAAAUGUUUGGGGAAUUCUUGCCUCAAUAGUUACAAAUACAAACGACAUAAGAUGAAAGAAAUAGAGUCUGCUAAAUACAAUAGAAAUUUAUAUAAUAAAUUAGUUGAGAGUGAUUUAUGCAAGCAAGGGGAGAACUGUGAUUACCAGCAUGAUUCUUAUUUUCCUUAUGAUGGAGCUGUAGAGUGGGUUACAGAUUGCAUUAGAAUUCAAGGCAAAUCUCCAGAUUGUUUGACUGACAGCGAAUUGGAUAUCCUUAGGCUCAAUAUCCAAUUUUUAUGUAAUUUAUUUACAUAUGCAUGUCCAAAUGUAGUGGACAGUGAUAUCUGGAGAUAUUUAAAUUGUGAUAACUUGAAACAAGCUAUUCUAAGGUGUAUGCAGUCUGAUCACAGAUCCCUUGCUAGUGCGGCUUGCAUAUAUGCACACAAUGCAUUGAAAACACUAUGUCACAAUUAUUUCGCAAUGGAAGAGAAAGAUUUAUAUUUACAAUUACUAAAACCUGUGAAAGAAGGUUUUACAUCUGCAAAGGAUGCACUGUUACUCAUGUUGCAUCAAUCCAAUGUUUUCAAAGAUAUAUAUAGUAGUAUAACUACAAGUGAAAAGCUAGCUUUACUUGAAAUUAUUUAUGAUGAAAUCUGGCAGUCUUGGCAAUCUGAUCUCAAUAUGGUGCUCACAAAGGAUCAAGCUGAGUUUCUGGCGCUAACAUUUUGCAAAAAGAGUGAUCUCAUUUUAAAAACUGUGGAUACGUACGUAAACAACGUAGAUCCUAUGGAAAUUAUUCUUAUUCUUAAUAUUCUGGGACUUCUUACUACACAAUGCAAUAUCUCGGAGAAUGCUAGAUGUUUGCUUAUUAACUGUAAAUAUCUUUUGAUGUCUUUACAUAUGAUGGGAAAGGAGGCAGACAAUUAUUUUACUCCGAUAACGAAUCUAAGUAAAGUAGCACCUAGUACUCAAGGAAGAGAUACAGAUGUAUGCUCAAAAUCAAAUGAUGCUGAGGUAUCUGCAACAGUAGCAAAGUGUAAUCCUGAGGAACAUCCUGCAUAUGGCUUCAAAGUGGGGCUAAUACGAGUCAUUGCAAAUAUGGUACACAAGAACAAAAUAUGUCAAGAUCUGUUCCGCGAAAUAGACGGAAUUCCAUUGCUUCUGGAUUGUUGUAACAUAGACGCGAGGAAUCCGCUUAUCCUACAAUGGACCAUUCUCGCUUUGAGAAAUCUGUGCGAGGGAAAUCCUGAGAAUCAAGAAAUUAUUAGAAACUGCGAAAAAACAGGCGUGCCAGAUAAUCCCGCGUUGCAGGAGAUGGGAUUGACUCUGCACGAGGACGCGGAUGGGAAGUCGAUUCGUAUCAUUCCUUUGCGUCGCAAUUAGGAAGAUUUACUAUUCUCUAGGACGGCGAGAUUGCCCCGGGCAAUCAAUCAACUCAAUAAUUAUCAAACUAUUACCUUUCGACUGAAAUGUAUCCUGCUGUACCGCUCGCGGAAAAAACGUCGCCGCAAUUACAACGUAUUUGUGCCAUUAGACGAAAUACGAUGUGGUGUACGGUAUAGAGAGAUAUUUUAUCUACAUUCAUGGCCGAGUGAUUUACGAUACAAUAAAAGCUGCUGCGAGAGUUCACGGUCUAUUAGUAAUUGCUAAUGUAAGUAUACUACUGAUAUCGCUGAUCAUUCAAUUGCAAUGUGAAAUGGAUUUUAUUUUCUUUAAAUAAUUAAUAAGCCUUCGACAAGAUUUCAUUAAUGCGCAUGAGAACGAUAAUAAUUUUUAGGCCGGUGUUCUGCAAAUCAAUAAAUAAGUAACGCGAUUAAGCGAAGAGGAAUGCCAUUUUUCAGUCGAAGCGGUUAAUUUUUAGUGCCUAACAAGACUGUGAAUUUUUAAUAUUUUAAUUUUAAUAUUUGUAUGAAUUUUUAUAAUUUCCAGUUUAUGCAAAUUGCGUGCCGAUUGUUUGUCGAUCGUGAAACAUAGUUGUAAAGUUCGUAUGAAGAGUGGAAAUUGUAAAAAUUCGACACAAGUUAGUUCUAAUCUCAUUUAUCAUUGUCGAUAAAUUUGCAAUAAAUAAACGUUUAUAUCCACAUUUUUCUAUUCUCGCCAAAGAUUCCUGUUUAAGAAUUGUAGAACCUGCAAUUACGCUGUCAGGAGACGUGGUGUUUUAAUAAAUAAUUUCUCUAUUAAUUAA
RNAcentral lists this unclassified non-coding RNA (2477 nucleotides) under Monomorium pharaonis (pharaoh ant). RNAcentral describes it as "ataxin-10, transcript variant X1". Lineage: Eukaryota; Metazoa; Arthropoda; Insecta; Hymenoptera; Formicidae. The record is from RNAcentral.